GUCAUUCAUAAGUGUCUUGAACCAUAAAAUGCUCAUGAGAGGAAAUGUUACACAGGUGAGUGUCGCAGCCACAUCCAUAAUGCCUGAAUUGGAUGGGACAAGGGGAUCCUGAGAUGAGACAAUAGGGUGAGUAGCCUGGAUUGUCCAGGUGGGCCGAAUGUAUUCACAGGGGUCCUUAAAAUGGAGGACAUUUCCCAGCUGAGUUUAAAUUCAGAGGGAGGUGUAGCCAUAGAGCAAUGUUCAGAAAGGCUGCUGACCAUGAAAAUGGAGGAAGUCGUGGGGCACAAGCUAAGGAAGGUGGGUUACCUCUGGAAACUGGAAAAAAAAAACAACAACAAGGAAACAUUCUCUUCUAGACCCUCUAGAAGGAAGGAAACCUGCUGCUACCUUGAAUUUAGCACAGUGAGAACUGUGUUGGAUCUCUGACUUCCACAGCCAUAAGCUGAUAAAUCUGUGCUUGUUUAUGCUCUUAAGCUUAUGGAAAUUUCUUACAUUGGUAAAAGGAAAAUAACAUAGUGAGCCGUAGUGUAACGGAUUAAAGGUAUAGGAUGGGGUGUGGAGAGGAUUCUGACAUUUAAACCUAAAAAACAACCAGGUGAAAUGGGAAGGUGUUUUAAGGAAGACUUACCUGGCAGGGCUGUUAAGCACACUGGAGCGAGGGGAGCAUUGGAGUUAGAGGAAUCCAUUAAAUCUCUACAAGGAAAAUAAGGAAUAAAAUGUAACAGGGCUUCAGUGAUAGUGGAUGUAGGAAUGGAAAUGGGCAGAGAGAUAUAAAUAUUACUUUGAAAUUAGCUACAGGUUUGAUGACUGCAUGUUGGGGAGACUUAGCCGAUGUGUGGACUGAAUGUUUGCAUCCCCUCAAAAUCCGUAUGUCGAAACCCCAUCUCCCAGGGUGAUGGUAUUGCGAGGCGGGGCCUUUGGGAGGUGAUUUGUAGGAUAAAAUGAGGUCAUGAGAGUAGAGCCCUCAUGAAUGGGAUUAGUGUUCUUAUGCAAGCCCCCAGAGUGCUUGCUUCUCUCUGCUCUCUGGGAUAUGAAGAUAUUGGGAAGACAGCCAUCUUCGAGCUGGCAAUCCUCUCAAGGAUACAUUGACCUUGAAAGUGUCAGCCUCCAAACCAUAAGGAAUAUGCUGGUUGUUUAAGCCACCCGACACGCGGUAAUUUGUUACAGCAUCCCAGACUGACGAAGACAGUGGAGAAUGCCUCUGAGUUUGGCACUGAUUGCCUGGAGAAUGCUGAAACCCAGGGAAGUGGGCAGCACAGACGUUUACUCAUUUAAUCCUGCCAACACAGUAGGAGAUAGAGUCCACAUAUUCCUCGCUACUUAAAAGAUCCCUGCCUUCUCUCUGCUCCUCCUGUCCAUGUCUCUUCCUCCACUUUUCCCCUUCUCCCUUCCUCCUCCCAUCUUCUCCGUCCCUCGCUUCCCCACCUUCUCUCACAGAACUCGGAGAGGAUCGCUGGCCCUGCUGCGCAUGCGCAGUCGUUGCCAGCUGGAACGAGGGUUGGAAGCUCCAGCUCCGAGCCGGGGAUCGGCCCCAAAAGCUGCUCAGCUCUUUCGCCCGGUAGGACAUUUGCUCCUGCCCCGGCGCCCCGGCCACAGCUGUCCAGCGCCAGCUUCUCCUGGUGGAGUCGGGAAAAGGGAGCGUCAGUGCUGAGCGUGCUUCCGUCUCCUCCCUCAGUGUUUCUGCCCCAGAUGAGCUGGCAGAUGUAGUGGCCUGGGCAAAGCUGAGGACACAGAUGCCAGCACCGUGCCACUCCCAGGCUGGCUCCAUUCCCGUCACCUGUCACCUCCUGCUGAGUCCCCAGGCGUCAGUCAAUGUCGGUACAUCGGUGCAACGUAAGCAGGGACCAACAUCUCCCCCUGGACAAAAUGGUGCCCUCACCUCCAGUAGCAUCCAUCCAGACACCAGCACUGACACUGGCCGUGCUCAGAACUGCCUCAGACCUGAAGACACAACUGACAAAUAGAAGGGGGCCACGCCCUGUUACAGCAGGUGCUCUCACUUUGUGGGUCCUUAUGUAACUGCACGAUGUUAAUCAGGAUCGCCCGUUCUACAUUGUGUAGCGCUGCUGCGGUGUCUCCUAGUUACUUGUUUCUUGUAAGAAUUCCGGUGACUGAGUUAGAAGCAUGUUUCCAAGCUGUCCGUGUUCUCGGCAUACAGAAGCGGAGCCUGGAAGCUUCCGAAUUUCUCCAGAAUGCAGUCUACAUUCACCUUCGGCAGGGCAGGAAGCCUAGACCAAAAGCUGGGUAAUGUGAUCCGAGCUACGGUAGCCAUUUGAAGACUCUGAGGACAAACUGUACCUCCGGAUUUACUUGAGCUUCCCUUGCCUUCUGGUUGGUACACACCAGGUCAUCGCAACCCAGAUGGACCUGCAGCCCACAGUACAGUAUGUACCUCGAUCUCCUCUCCCCUCUCGUCAGGGCCUGCAGCAUGAGCAUCCCUGACUACGUGCAGUGUGCUGAGGAACACCAGACUUUCCCCGUGGUGGUCGAACACGUGGGGAUCAUCUCAGAGGAGAAUUUCUUUUGCAUCUAUAAGUGAAUCACCUUGGUGAGUCAGAUCAGUCCGUGCAGCUCCCAGUGGGCAAACUGUAUCCACUACAGGCACCACUAUGCGCCCAAGAAUGGGUGGAGCGACUUCCAGACCCACCGCAAGGUCUUGGGCCUUGUCAUCAUUACUGAAUGCCUCUCGGCCAAGGCUUCGAAAAGCUCCACGUGCAGAGGAGCUGUAUGGCACCACGCUCUAUGACUCUCAGCUCUUUGACUUUCUGCUGCAUGGGGAGGUGGCCGAGCAGCCGCGCACCGAAGUGGCCUUCAAUUUACGAGGACUGCAGGGUGGUGGAGAAGAGGAUCGACGACUUCACUGAGUCACUCUUCAUCUUGCCCAAGUCCAAGUGGCUGGACGGUGCAUCCGACAAUUCUGGGGACAAGAUCCUCCUUCUCUGCAUCCCAUUUGAGAAGGAGGACAUCAUGGGACUGGACACAGAAAGCAGUACGUUUUGGUUACUGAGUCCCUCAAAUUCCCAUAUGAAUAGUAGCAGCAGCUAGUCAGUUACUGCAGAGGAGCCCGCUGGGAUUGUGAUCGAGACCACGUUGAGUAUACAGAUCGCUCUGGGGAGCACUGCCAUCCCAAGAGCGCUGUCAUCUGAUCCAGGAAUGUGCGUGGUGUGUCUGUCCAGGUAUUUAGGUCUUCUUUAAUUUUUUUCAACCAUGCGUAGAGUUUACAUAGUAUUAUUUUACCUUAUUUUUUUGCCUUUAUACUGAGUACAAUUGUGCAAGGUACUAGGAUCAGAAUUGUAUUAUAGCCCCGCCACUUGCUGCCACCAUGGACGCUGCACUCUUGCUUUGCCCUGUGUAAAAUCUUGCACAAAAUAGGACCUAAGUAACUCUCUCUUGAAUGAAUGAUUAUAUGAUUGCUGGAUGAUGCUGGAGAGUCCUUGUGAUGAUGUCUUUUUCCCAGACUUUCCCCUCUUCUUAACUAUGCCUUUUUCUCUUCCUUUCCUCCAACCUGGGUUUCAGCCUGCCUGUGGCAUUGAUUUUCCCUGAGUGUGGACUCUUCCUUUCACUAGUUCACGAUAAUGUUUCAUGCGGGCUAUGAAAACUUGCUAGAUGUCAAGAAAUAGCAAAUUCACUGCAUGCUAGUAUUUUUAGUCUGUGGUAUUAUAUUAUCCAUUGAAAUUAAAUCAGGCUGACCCCCUGAGCCCUCCCCUGAUCUCUUUUCUCCUUCCUACGGGUGAUAAUUCUCUGGUUGCUGUCUGUGCCCUUCCCCCAGACUUGGUUUUGGAGUUGAGUAAGUCACCAUCAGUGGAGCUCUCUCUUUAAAGAUGAAGAGAACAUUUGCUCCUUCUUCCUGGUUGGGGACUGGAUGAGAUGUGGUAACAGAUAAAGAAUGGAGCCCCAUCUCAUUCUGACCCUCGCUCUUUCCGUUCCUUUCUCCAGGGGAAAAGAGUAAAAUUCAAAAAUAUAAAGAUUGUGAGCUAAUGAGAUAGACAAGACAACCGAACAUUUGUUAAAUAUCCUUUCAUGCCGGACACAAAUGUAUUAUACACACAAAAAGCACACAAAUCACGGUAGUACUGCGGUUACAAACGUUGGUCCGAGUUCGAGUCCUGCUCUGGAGUGACCAGUCCUGUGAGAUGGAGAACUGAGAUCUAUGUAUAGUUUUUUACAUUCUAUACCUGGAAAUUUCUCCAAAACUGCUUCCCACGUGCCCUCACCUCCAGUGGCAUCCAUCCAGACACCAGCACUGACACUGGCCGUGCUCAGAACUGCCUCAGCCCUGAAGACACAACUGACAAAUAGAAGGGGGACACGCCCUGUGACAGCAGGUGCUCUCACUUUGUGGGUCCUUAUGUAACUGCGCAGUGUUAUUCAGGAUCGCCCGUUCUACACUGUGUGACGCUGCUGCCGUGUCUCCUAGUUAUUUCUCGUUCCUAGGAGAGAAUUCAGCAGUGCAGCAUCCUCUCCGAGCUCUAUGAGUUGAUCGGCUUCCACUGCAAGUCCGUCUUCUUCAAGUGGGUGGCCCCCGUGCAGCGCGUGGCCCCCGGCAUCCCGGAGCCUGGCGGGAAGGCCUGCUACCGACUCCUUCUGCAGACGCUUCCUGGCUACAGUCUGUCACUGAUUCUGCAGGACUUCAACAAAGGUUUUGGGACUAAAACAUUGCUUCAGUCCGAUUAACCAUGCCUUGUUUGGGCCCUGCUCUCCUGUCUCAACAGGGUGAAUUGUGAUUCGUGUAGAGCAGGACACAGCAGACUUUUUUCUGUCAAGGGCUUGGGAGUCAAUAUUUCAGGAUCUGCAAACCUCCUGAUCUCUGGUGCAGCUGCUCAGCUCUGCUGUUCAGACGCCAGAGCAGCUGGAGAGUCCACACACCCACAGAGCUUUAUUCACAGCAGUGGCUGGGGCUGGAUUGGGUGUAUGAACUGCAGUUUGUCCCCACAGCCUCCUCACUAUUGACGCCUGUACCUGAGCGUGCAUUUGCGACAAUGGGUGAACCUACACUGACAAGUCAUCAUCACCAAGAGCCCAUACUUGACACUAGGAUUUACACUUGGUGGUGUGCACUCUGUGGGUUUGGACAGAUGUACAAUGACACGUUUCUACCAUCACAGCAUCAUACAGAGUAGUCUGUCUUAGUGACCCUAAAAAUGCUCCUUGCUGCACCUCAUUCAUUACUCCUUCCCCUCUAGCCUCUGACAGUAACUGAUCUUUUAGUCUCUGUGGUUUUGCCUUUCCCAGAACACCAUACAGUUGGAAUCAGAGAGUUGCAGAAUCUUCCCAGAUUGGCUUCUUUCACUUAGUAAUAUGCAUUUAAGGUUCCUCCAUGUCUUUCCAUGCCUUGAUAACUCAUUUUAUUUUAACACCAUAAAUAGUCCAUUUUCUGCCUGGACCACAGUUUAUUUAUCCAUUCACCUACUGAAGAACAGCUUAGUUGUUUCUGAGUUCUGGUGAUUAUGAAUAAAGCUGCUAUUAACAUCUGUAUGCAGAUUUGUGUGUGGACGUAAUUUUCCAUUUUGUUCAGUAAACACCAAGGAGCACAGUUGCCAGAUCAUAUGGUAGGAGUACGUUUAGUUUUGUAAAAAAUUGCCAGACCGUCUUCCAAAGUAUCUGGGCCAUUUUUCAUUCCCACCAGCAAUGCAAGAAAAUUCCUGACGCUCCACAUCCUCACCAGCAUUUGGUGCUGUCAGUGUUCUGAGUUUUGGCAGUUCUGACUGGUGUGCAGUGAUAACUCACUGUUUCAGUCUGCAGCCCCUUGAUGACAGAUGCUGUGGAGCAUGUUUCCAUAGAUUUCUUUGGCAUCUAGUUUCCAUGUUGAGGUGUGUGUUGAGGCAUUUUGCUCAUUUUUUAAGCAGGUUAUUCAUUCUUCUUGUUGAGUUUAAAGAGAUUUUGGUGUAUUCUGGAUAUCAGCCCUUUAUCAAUGUGUCCCUGCCCUUCACCUGCAGCACCGGAGUUGUCCUUUGGGUCUCAGUGGAGUGUCAGCUCUUCAAAGAGGUUCCCUGUCUUCCCUCACCUAAAUACUGUCCUUGAACUUUUCACUUUCAUUGACUCACUUUGUUCUUUUUAAAUAGCAUUUCCCAUAAUUUGUAAGUACAUUAAAAAAAAAGGCAAUGAUUGAACACUGCCUCCCCCACCAGGCUGUGUGCCCUGUGAGAGCAGAGACCCUGUCCCCACUCACCAUGUCCCAUGACAGCACAUGUCACAUGUCCAUGUAAAUGUGUGUAACGUGGGGCCAAACCUGAUGAGCAGCUAUGACGACAUGUGUUGGCUACCAUUCAUUGAAUAGAGUUUGUUUCUUGAUCUUAAUUUUAAAUCACAUGAAUGAAACAUGUUUCUUUUGAAAAAUAAAACAACAAAGCACACCUCCAUGUGAUUGGUACUUUCUACUUAGCCUUCUGACCCAGGAGGGGACGUUCACCAUCAUUUUGUGGAGGAGGUUGGGGAGGUAAAGUAGGAGAGUGAGAUCAAAUAAAGUAAAAAUGAUAACAAUCAGCUGGCUUUAUUUUCACUAAGACAAAUGUUACUUUAAACCAUACCUCAGCUGUUGUUCUGUUGUUUUAAACACUUCUCAUAGAAUUAAAUGGAAGCCCACUAAACCCUGAAAGGGAAAUUAUGUGCUCAGGUCCUGAAAAGUGUUUAUGUCUAUUUCUUGAAAUGCACAUUUUCCCUGCUGGUUACAGAAUGUCAUGGCGGGAACACAGCCGUGAGCUGUGUGUGUCUGCCAGCUUCACGGGCUGCUCACUGUCAUUUUCAUUUUCUUGUGUUGCAGUGUAUGAAGGUUUUCCAUCAGACUGUUUGCUCAGCCCCUUCCUGAAUGAGGGAUUGAAUUUUCCACAGGAAAUCUUAUGGAAGAGAGUGACAAGGCACAUGGGUUUCCCAAAAAGCAAUAGUUGUUGUAAUAAACUCUCACAUUGGUGAACUUUUUGAAUACAAGCGAGUUGAAAAUUUUAUCACUAGGUCAUAUGCCACAAAUCUGUCUUAAGAAUAAAAAGAUUCAGAUUUUAUAGAAGAAGCAGUUUGAAUCAAGUAUAAAUUACAAUUUGUACACUAGUUGGUGUUAGAACAUGUACUCACUCUUACCAUAAUUGCCUGUGGUAGGAACUGGAUCAUUAUUUAUUUAUUUAAAAAAAAUCCUCAAGGUUCUACUUGCCUCAUUCUUGAUGCGGCAGUGCUGAGGUUAGUUAAGUUGGGACAUUUAGAAUUCUUGGCUAGGUUUUCAGGACAUUGAUUUCAGCCUCUUUAUCUUUUUUAGAAUCUCUUCUUUGUGUCGGUCUUUGGUCUUUUGACAAUGUGGAAAUACUGCACAGAUCAGUCUUUCCCUUUUUCCUGUCUUUAUGGGAAAAGAUUUCUGUAAGACACACUACUAGGACAUUAAGCAUUUUGUGUGGGGUAAGUUUGGUCGGCUCAAAGGAUUUCAAUUAAUACGUAUUAAUACUUGCUAUUCAGCUAAUGAUAAGAAAAUUAUAAAAUAACUUAAUUAUACAUCAAUAAAUAUAGUACAAUAAGCCCAUCACCCAGAUUAAGGAAUUCACAAACAUUUCCAUAUUUCCUUUAUUCAGACCUUUGUUCUUUUACUUGUCCUUUGUUGAAGUAUUUGACAGCAAAUUCAAGAAAACAUGUCAUUUUACCCUAUGUACUCAAGUAGGCAUGUCUGAAAAAUGAGGGCCAUUUCUUUGAUCAGGUUUUUCCAUUUGACUUAUGUGCUCGUUAAGUACCAGCUGUAUCAGGCAUCUCACUAGGCAUUAGGAAUCCUUGGGGCAAUGAGACAGUCCUGGCUCCCAAGGAAGUUAAGGGCUGAUGGAAGAAACCAACACAGGAGCUUAGGUGCCUCACCUAAGGUCCCUGCGGGAUGACACCAAUUGGAAAAAAUUUGUGCACAAUACAGUGGGAUUCACAGAAGGGACUGGUCAGACUAGUAGGGCAGGCCGUGAGAGAGGCGGUCAGCAGGGCUACAAGAGGAGGAAUCAUUUGAUCAGAAUCUGAAAUCUUUUCUGCCAACCUUCCUACCAAGCCCUAGGGCCCAUCACACACAACCCUGUGCUGUAACUGUUUUUGAUUCCUGUUACCACGUCUCCUUCAGGAAGGAUUUUAAGGUGGAAAAUAUUUAAAAUCAGUAAUUGUUGCCAGAAGGGACAUAGAACAAAGAACAUGGAAACAACACAAAUGUCCAUCAGCACAUGACUGGAUAAAGACGAGGUGAUACAUAUCUACAAUGGAAUACUACUCAGCCAUAACAGAUGCAAUUUGCAGCAACAUGGAUGGACCUGAAGACUGUCAUUCUAAGUGAAGUGGGGUGAAAAGAGAAAGAAAAAUGCCAUAAGACUUCAUUUAUGAGGAAUCUAAAAUUAAUAGCAAUAAUAAUAAGACCACAAAUGAACUAAUUGUUAUUUUGAUUUCUUGAAUAUGCUUAAGCACAUAUGACUGUCCUUUGUGAUUGGAUUACCAUAUUCUGUUUAUUAUUCUUUUGUAGUUGGCUUUAUUCCUCUGGUAACUAUGUAAGUUUAAAAAUCUGAAACUCUAAUCUGUUCUUAGAAACAAUAAUUAGUACAUAUAUGUAACUAAAAAAAUGCAGUAUACUCUAUACAUGUAUUUACAUGCAAUGUGUAUGUGGAGUUGAACUGUAAUAAUUAUACCUAAUAAUACUGAAAAAGGAAAAAAAUAAAAUAAUAUAUAAAAAAACUA
Camelus dromedarius (Arabian camel) is the source of this 8673-nucleotide long non-coding RNA. RefSeq lists it as uncharacterized. The transcript is spliced from 11 exons. The record is from RefSeq and is a predicted model, not a curated record. NCBI's taxonomy places the organism in Eukaryota, Metazoa, Chordata, Mammalia, Artiodactyla, Camelidae.